Regulatory RNA element from Fulvimarina pelagi HTCC2506, 61 nucleotides. It matches the Rfam family "terC RNA". Lineage: Bacteria; Pseudomonadati; Pseudomonadota; Alphaproteobacteria; Hyphomicrobiales; Aurantimonadaceae. The record is from Rfam.
ACCAAUGUUCGGGCCCCUCUGGCGAGAGCUGCCGGCUUUCUCGUGAUGUCGAACGGAUCAC